Long non-coding RNA from Homo sapiens (human), 426 nucleotides. RefSeq lists it as uncharacterized. The record is from RefSeq and is a predicted model, not a curated record. The transcript is spliced from 3 exons. Lineage: Eukaryota; Metazoa; Chordata; Mammalia; Primates; Hominidae.
GUAUUUAUUCCCCAUCAGCCAUUCAUUAUGCUUGCUGGCAGAGGGCAUAACCUUGAGUGAGGCACACUAUGAAAUGUCAGAAGCCUAUUUCCGCAACAGCUUGGAGAUGGAUGUGAAAUGAACUGCAGAUUCUGAGCGCAGUUUUACAAGCACAACUUGAGUCUGAGUUCUAGCUACUGCCCAGUUGUGUGACCUUGGCCAACACUGUGUUAGAUUAAUGGAAUCCUCACCGAAGUCCUCCGUCGAUUUGUGAGUUUGUAAGUAGAAGAGAAUUAAUUAAAUAACGAAAGAGUACAGAUGUCAAAAUUUGUAUUGUAUAAGCAACAGUUCUGCUAGGUAGAAUGUAUCAGGCAUCUUGCUUAACAAAUCCUUACAACAAAGGUUAAGAUACUCCGGGCCACUAAAAGCAACAGGGAGCUGUUGAUG